RNAcentral lists this ribosomal RNA (261 nucleotides) under uncultured archaeon. Its description in RNAcentral is "partial 16S ribosomal RNA". It matches the Rfam family "Archaeal small subunit ribosomal RNA", at positions 748 to 1009 of the family's 1478-position model. The record is from RNAcentral.
UAGCCGUAAACGAUACUCGCUAGGUGUCGGCCACGGUGCGACCGUUGUCGGUGCCGUAGGGAAGCCGUGAAGCGAGCCACCUGGGAAGUACGGCCGCAAGGCUGAAACUUAAGGGAAUUGGCGGGGGAGCACAACAACGGGUGGAGCUUGCGGUUUAAUUGGAUUCAACGCCGGAAAUCUUACCGGGACCGACAGCAACAUGAAGGCCAAGCUGAAGACUUUGCCGGAUUAGCUGAGAGGUGGUGCAUGGCGUAGUCGUGU